RNAcentral lists this small RNA (6253 nucleotides) under Pongo abelii (Sumatran orangutan). RNAcentral describes it as "retained intron". Lineage: Eukaryota; Metazoa; Chordata; Mammalia; Primates; Hominidae. The record is from RNAcentral.
AUGAUUAACAGUUCUUUAAGCAUGCUCUUUUCUUAUUUAGAAAAGUAUUUCUAUGUUGCAGAUGAACUGUCUCAUUGUGUUGAGCCUGAGCUGUCUCAGGUGCCAGGUGGCAGUUCUAGAGACCAUCAGCAAGGUAAGCCCCCUCCUCUCCCGGCUCUAAAAGCUAAGACAUCUUCACGUUCUGGUCCAUAUGCCACUGAGAUAAAGAAGUCAACUGAUGAUUCCAUAUUUAAAGUUCUAGACUGGUUUAACAGAAGUUCUUAUUCAGAUGACAAUAAGUCAUUCCUCCAACAUCCCCGAGGAAUAGAGUCCAAAGAAAAAACAGACUCAAAAUCACAGGUUGCUAUUGACUUGGUGACAGAUGACACUACUUUAAGAGAAAAUGGCUCAAAGACCCUAUUAUCCAGCAAAAUUGAAUUGAAGCCUGUGAGAUCUGACUCAGCAUUCCAAGUAGAGGGAGAUAUGCUGGUUUCUGAAAGUUGCCAAGAUAAUGUGAAUAUCAAAUCCAAAUUCAUGAAUUUGUCCCAACAAGGCACCCCAAAGGAAGGCCCAGGUAUAUUGCAACCAUUUGAAAGCUAUGGCACCCCAAGUCAAGGGAGUAAAAAUAUGGACUAUAGCCAAGAUUCAAAAAGCACAGGAAAAGGGAAUGGGGUAUCUCCUUCAAAUAGUAACUAUUCCUACAGUGUUCUCAAGGAAUCUGAUGCAGAAAACCAAGUUCCAUGCAACACUAAGAAUAUUGGCAACUUGGGUGAAGAAGAACCCAAGUUUCAUGCUCAUGAAGAAAAUAGAGGGCACUCAGAAGUGAAUUUUGACUCUUCAACAAUUGUCAAAGAACCAGGUUUGAAAGAUAACAUGAAAGCAGAGAGAAAGUGCAAAGUAGGAAAUACCUAUGUCCUGAAAGCUUCCUUAGAGCCAGAGAAUAUUAAGUCAACACCUGGGGUUGCCAACAAUGGCUGUCCUUGGAAGAAGCCUGAGGUCCAAUUCCAGCAAGAAGCUGGUGAGGUUCCCAAGAACCAAGUGCAGAGAGAGAAAUACAAAAGAGUGAAUGACAGAAUAUCCUUUUGGGAAGGAGAGAAAGCUGCUGCUAAGAUAACUCAUAAAGAACCCACAUCUUCAUGUAGCCAGGAACAAUCUUCUGCUAAAGCAUAUCAGCCUGUGAAGAAGUCACAGGGUGUAUCAUCCAUGGACAGUUUAUCUACAGACGAGAGUGAAUAUAAUCAGGUCAUUCCCAAACGAGUGGUCCUAGAUGAGGAUGAUCAAGCAUCCCAGCUCUCCAAUUCUUAUUCCUCAAAUAAAUCUAAAGAGACCAAGCCACAAAUAGCAGGUCCAUCCAGAAACUAUCUUUCAGCUGAGCAAUCAGAUAAAGUGUCUCUGUUUCAGAAUAAGAAAAAUGAGCCUAUAAAAAGAUCACAAGUGGCAGACAGUUUGCCUUCUAGAAGAAACAUUACUUUACCAGCACUGCAACAUCCCUCAAAUGUUGGGAGUGAACGACGUGCUCCUUUGGAGAAAGACAGACCUCUAAUUCGUGAAUCAAAUGCCAACUUUAAAGUUAUGUCCCUAAAAGAAAGAAUGGAUGAACCCAAUGCAGAACAGGUCUAUAAUCUCUCUCAGUUUGAGAAUUUGAGAAAGUUUUGGAACUUAGAAGCUAAUUCAAACAGUAAGGAUAAUAACAAGAAUAUUACCACAACAAGCCAAAAAAAUUCUGUGCCUUUUAAUAGGCAGAAACACGAGGAAUUCAGCGACAUUAAAUUAUCAGGUAAAAAUACCCAUGAAGCAGAGGUGCUUCUAAGCCCAAAAAAAGUUAUGGCAAGAGAGGAAAUGGAGAAAUUAAAUUCCAAGGGCAUACUCCAGGUGCUACCAGAUGAAAUUGCAUUUCCUUUGAGUCCACUUAGAAAGUAUACUCAUCAGUUGCCAGGAAAUGAGUCAUCAAAGGAAAACGUGGAAAAGAAUAUGGAAGGGAUUGUUACUCCAGUGUUUAAGGAAGAAAAGGAUUACUCACACCAAGAGAUUCAAGAAUCCAUAGUAAAAACCAAUGUUUUGUCUAAAGACUGCAAAGACACUUUUAAUGACAGCUUGCAGAAACUGCUUUCAGAAGCCUCAACACCAGCAAUUCAACCCUCUGGUGGAAAAGUUCAUGGAAAACAAGUGCUUGAACCAAGUGUUUCUGAAAAUAGAACAUGGCUUCAAAAAACAGAUUUUGCUGAUACUGAGGAAGAAGUCAAAGGACCUGAGAAGAUCAUUAAUGAGCAUGCUGACAAAACAGUAGUUGAUCCAAAGGUUAAACAGAACUCUUUGAAUGCUAGUCUAGACAAACUCCUGAAGGAAGCAACUGGAACUUCACCCUCUCCCUUGCAAACCAAGUUGGCGCCCGUUAUCACUGGAACCCACUCUAAGCCGGAAGAGGGAAGAUUUUUUGGAAAAGGGAUAGAACAGAGUCACAAUACUUCAGCUGAUAAGAGAGAAAUACUAGCUCCUUUUCCAGUGAGAGAUGAAACUUUUGGAAAUACAGUUCUCCCCAAGAAAGCUGAAAGUGGUGAGUGCCAGCUAAGCACAGAGAAUUUGAUUCAGAUGGCUGCAGAAGAUUCUCAUCCAUUGGAUCCAACUUCCCAGCUUUCCAGAAAGGGUUCUUUUGGGGAUGUGGCCAACCCUCCCCAAGAUAUGCUUUUUCCCCAGGAUGCUCAUCUUUUUCCCCAGGCUAGGGUACACCCUUCUCAAACGGAAAUUUCGGAGACUGUAGAGAAAGUCAUUCUUCCACCCAGACCUGUAUUGAAUGAUGUAAAUGCUGCAUUACAGAAGCUGUGUAGAGAAGUAUGGUUAAGUUAUCCAGCUGGAAGGGAAGUAGGUCCUGGAGAAGUGAACCCAGAAUUUCCUGAAGCAGUACAGCCAGUAGGUAGCCCCCUAAAUCCUCCAGGAGUGAUAUCACCAUGGGCUACGAUGGACACCAUAGUUCCAGACAGGAAGGAUUUUUAUUCCUCCAAUGUAGUUCCUGAUAAAACUCAUGAAGUUGGAUCUUAUUUAGCUGCCCAAAUGUCUCUAUCAGACCAGACACUUAGCUCAUUUGCUUCCAUUGUUGCUCAAUAUGGCAAAGCCCUACCUCAGGAAGUGGAAGAAAUUGUGAGGGAAACAAUUAUUCAACCCAAAUCAGAGUUCCUCGAAUUCAGUGCUGGCUUCGAAAAACUACUGAAGGAAGCAACUGAAACCUUCCCCUCAAAAUAUGAAAGUGAUACAGGGAAUCUUUCUCCAUCAAAGUUAAUAGGUAGUACAAAGGAGCCCAGGCGAGCCACUUCUGAAUUCCAUCCUGAGGAAUUAAAAGAAACGGUAGAAAAGGCUGAGGCUCCAUUAAUAACUGAGAGUGCUUUUGAUGCUGGUUUUGAGAAACUUCUUAAAGAAAUAACUGAAGCUCCUCCUUAUCAGCCCCAGGUGUCAGUGAGAGAAGAAACUCAUGAGAAGGAGUCCUCACAGUCAGAGCAGACCAGGUUCUUGGGGACAGUGCCCCAUUUUUACAGGGCAGCCUCACAGACCUCUGAAAUGAAGGCUAAAAGUAAUGGUUUGGAAUCUCAAGUCAACCAAUGUGAUAAAAUGUUGGGAGGAGACGCACUUGUGACUGGUUUAUUGGUAGAUUUUUGUGGUUCCAGAAGUGGAGUUGAGAUCCCUGGAACCCCACAACUUUAUGUGGCUCAUGAAAUAGGGACCAUUAAAACUGUAAAUCCCCCAGAGGACAGGGACAGUGAAAGUGGGGUUGCAGGGGGACAAGGGACUUUUCAGGAACCUGGCUUUGGAGAGGCUUCUGAAGCAAUUAGUGUGUCCAGAAACAGGCAACCCAUUCCUCUCCUGAUGAACAAAGAAAACUCUACAAAAACAAGUAAAGUUGAAUUGAUUCUAGCAUCGCCAUAUAAGAAACAAGAGAAAGAGGAAGAAAAAGAAGGUUUCUCUGAGUCUGAUUUUUCAGAUGGAAACACCAGUUCUAAUGUGGAGAGCUGGAGAAAUCCUUCCAGUUCAGAAGAAGAACCCAGUCCUGUUUUGAAAACUUUGGAAAGGAGUGCCGCUAGGAAAAUGCCUUCCAAAAGUCUAGAAGACAUUUCAUCAGAUUCAUCAAAUCAAGCAAAAGUAGAUAAUCAGCCAGAAGAAUUAGUGCGUAGUGCUGAAGAUGUUUCCACAGUGCCUACACAACCUGAUAAUCCAUUUUCUCACUCUGACAAACUCAAAAGGAUGAGCAAGUCUGUUCCAGCAUUUCUCCAAGAUGAGAGUGAUGACAGAGAAACAGAUACAGCAUCAGAAAGCAGUUACCAGCUCAGCAGACACAAGAAGAGCCCGAGCUCUUUAACCAAUCUUAGCAGCUCCUCUGGCAUGACGUCCUUGUCUUCUGUGAGUGGCAGUGUGAUGAGUGUUUAUAGUGGAGACUUUGGCAAUCUGGAAGUUAAAGGAAAUAUUCAGUUUGCAAUUGAAUAUGUGGAGUCACUGAAGGAGUUGCAUGUUUUUGUGGCCCAGUGUAAGGACUUAGCAGCAGCGGAUGUAAAAAAACAGCGUUCAGACCCAUAUGUAAAGGCCUAUUUGUUACCAGACAAAGGCAAAAUGGGCAAGAAGAAAACACUCGUAGUGAAGAAAACCUUGAAUCCUGUGUAUAACGAAAUACUGCGGUAUAAAAUUGAAAAACAAAUCUUAAAGACACAGAAACUGAACCUGUCCGUUUGGCAUCGGGAUUCAUUUAAGCGCAAUAGUUUCCUAGGGGAGGUGGAACUUGAUUUGGAAACAUGGGACUGGGAUAACAAACAGAAUAAACAAUUGAGAUGGUACCCUCUGAAGCGGAAGACAGCACCAGUUGCCCUUGAAGCAGAAAACAGAGGUGACAUGAAACUAGCUCUCCAGUAUGUCCCAGAGCCAGUCCCUGGUAAAAAGCUUCCUACAACUGGAGAAGUGCACAUCUGGGUGAAGGAAUGCCUUGAUCUACCACUGCUAAGGGGAAGUCAUCUAAAUUCUUUUGUUAAAUGUACCAUCCUUCCAGAUACAAGUAGGAAAAGUCGCCAGAAGACAAGAGCUGUAGGGAAAACCACCAACCCUAUCUUCAACCACACUAUGGUGUAUGAUGGGUUCAGGCCUGAAGAUCUGAUGGAAGCCUGUGUAGAGCUUACUGUCUGGGACCAUUACAAAUUAACCAACCAAUUUUUGGGAGGUCUUCGGAUUGGCUUUGGAACAGGUAAAAGUUAUGGGACUGAAGUGGACUGGAUGGACUCUACUUCAGAGGAAGUUGCUCUCUGGGAGAAGAUGGUAAACUCCCCCAAUACUUGGAUUGAAGCAACACUGCCUCUCAGAAUGCUUUUGAUUGCCAAGAUUUCCAAAUGAGCCCAAAUUCCACUGGCUCCUCCACUGAAAACUACUAAACCGGUGGAAUCUGAUCUUGAAAAUCUCAGUAGGUGGACAAAUGUCCUCACUUUCUAUCCAUUGCACCUAAGGAAUACUACACAGCAUGUAAAAGUCAAUCUGCAUGUGCUUCUUUGAUUACAAGGCCCAAGGGAUUUAAAUAAUAACAAAAUGUGUAAUUUGUGACUCUAACAUUAAAUAAGAUAUUGGAACAAGCUAGGAAAACUGAAUUUCUGCUGCUGCUUCAAAGAAAAAACUGCCCCAGAGCAUUAAACAUGGGGUAUUGUUAACAAGCAAAAUGUUCUUGUUUGCCAUCAUGUGUUUCACACCACAAUUCUGUGCCACAGUUAAGAGGGUCUGGUACCCUUGCAGGACCUUUGUAGGUUGUGGGAAAAAGUCGCAGAAAGAUACUCAAAGUGGAGUGGGGAAUGGAGACAGAACAUCAGUGAUGAUAAAAAAAAAUGGACCUUAAGAAACUAUUUACUCUGUAAUCUCUAAUAAAAUAUGGAAUUCCAUAUUAGGGCAAUGAGACUGAAUUUACUGGUGUUUUUCUGCCUUGAGGAAACAGGCAGUUAAAACAAGCCUCAAAUGUAUUUUAGUGCCACCCACUGGCCAUAGGUAAAAUUCAGUUGUUGGCUUGUUUUGACUUAAUUCUAAAAUAGGUCUCAAGCCUGUAUUUUUAUGAGUUUAUUUUUUUUAAAACCCUGCAUAUAUAUGAUUGUUUUUCUUAUAACUUUACUAUAUGAAAGCAGCAUAAGAGUAGUCACAAACAUGUUUUGCAACAAAGUUUUAAUUAGAAUGUAAGUUGUUCAAUUAUACUGUGCUUCUUAUGUAUGUAAAAUUUUCAUAAAGUAUUUUCUAAAAACCCUUAGAAUAAAUUAUCAUUUGAUUUAAA